This 254-nucleotide ribosomal RNA is filed under the name uncultured bacterium. RNAcentral describes it as "partial 16S ribosomal RNA". It matches the Rfam family "Bacterial small subunit ribosomal RNA", at positions 524 to 776 of the family's 1533-position model. The record is from RNAcentral.
UACGGGGGGAGCAAGCGUUGUUCGGAUUUACUGGGCGUAAAGGGCGCGUAGGCGGUCAGCACAAGUCAGUUGUGAAAUCUCCGGGCUUAACUCGGAAAGGUCAACUGAUACUGUGCGACUAGAGUGCGGAAGGGGCAACUGGAAUUCUCGGUGUAGCGGUGAAAUGCGUAGAUAUCGAGAGGAACACCUGCGGCGAAGGCGGGUUGCUGGGCCGACACUGACGCUGAGACGCGAAAGCGUGGGGAGCGAACAGG